AUGAAUUUGGUGCUUGCACCAGAUGAAACUAGAUACAAGCGAGCGGCGGACGGGUGAGUAACACGUGGGUAACCUGCCCAAGAGACUGGGAUAACACCUGGAAACAGAUGCUAAUACCGGAUAACAACACUAGACGCAUGUCUAGAGUUUAAAAGAUGGUUCUGCUAUCACUCUUGGAUGGACCUGCGGUGCAUUAGCUAGUUGGUAAGGUAACGGCUUACCAAGGCAAUGAUGCAUAGCCGAGUUGAGAGACUGAUCGGCCACAUUGGGACUGAGACACGGCCCAAACUCCUACGGGAGGCAGCAGUAGGGAAUCUUCCACAAUGGACGCAAGUCUGAUGGAGCAACGCCGCGUGAGUGAAGAAGGGUUUCGGCUCGUAAAGCUCUGUUGGUAGUGAAGAAAGAUAGAGGUAGUAACUGGCCUUUAUUUGACGGUAAUUACUUAGAAAGUCACGGCUAACUACGUGCCAGCAGCCGCGGUAAUACGUAGGUGGCAAGCGUUGUCAGGAUUUAUUGGGCGUAAAGCGAGUGCAGGCGGUUCAAUAAGUCUGAUGUGAAAGCCUUCGGCUCAACCGGAGAAUUGCAUCAGAAACUGUUGAACUUGAGUGCAGAAGAGGAGAGUGGAACUCCAUGUGUAGCGGUGGAAUGCGUAGAUAUAUGGAAGAACACCAGUGGCGAAGGCGGCUCUCUGGUCUGCAACUGACGCUGAGGCUCGAAAGCAUGGGUAGCGAACAGG
This 736-nucleotide ribosomal RNA is filed under the name uncultured Bacilli bacterium. Its description in RNAcentral is "bacterial SSU rRNA". It matches the Rfam family "Bacterial small subunit ribosomal RNA", at positions 66 to 776 of the family's 1533-position model. The record is from RNAcentral. Lineage: Bacteria; Bacillati; Bacillota; Bacilli.